RNAcentral lists this non-coding RNA (24 nucleotides) under Arabidopsis thaliana (thale cress). Lineage: Eukaryota; Viridiplantae; Streptophyta; Magnoliopsida; Brassicales; Brassicaceae. The record is from RNAcentral.
CCUCUUUUGGUCUUCACUUUCAGA